CCCUUAGAUGUUCUGGGCCGCACGCGUGCUACACUGAGUAAUUCAAUGGGUAAGGGAACGCUAGAGCAUUACCUAAUCUUGAAAUUUGCUCGUGAUGGGGAUCGACGGUUGCAAUUUUCCGUCGUGAACGAGGAAUACCUUGUAGGCGCAUGUCAUCAUCAUGCGCCGAAUACGUCCCUGCCCUUUGUACACACCGCCCGUCGCUCCUACCGAUUGAAGUUUUCGGUGAGCUUGCAGGAGGAAUUUUUUGAAACUGGUUCGCUAGUGGAUUUUUAUUCCAAAUGCUAACGAAUCGAUGGCUUUAGAGGAAGGAGAAGUCGUAACA
RNAcentral lists this ribosomal RNA (325 nucleotides) under uncultured eukaryote. Its description in RNAcentral is "partial 18S ribosomal RNA". It matches the Rfam family "Eukaryotic small subunit ribosomal RNA", at positions 1470 to 1796 of the family's 1831-position model. The record is from RNAcentral.